RNAcentral lists this small RNA (185 nucleotides) under Halopseudomonas yangmingensis. RNAcentral's name for it is "Pseudomonas yangmingensis Pseudomonas sRNA P27". It matches the Rfam family "Pseudomonas sRNA P27". The record is from RNAcentral. Lineage: Bacteria; Pseudomonadati; Pseudomonadota; Gammaproteobacteria; Pseudomonadales; Pseudomonadaceae.
GGGUUUCACUCCUGGAUUUACCAUUGACCACCCUCGCGGGUGGCAAGUUUUGGUGUCAGAUCCAGCCUGCACUGAAUCGGGAGCACCAUCUGCGUAGGCUUGGGGUUUAAGGCUUGCGCCGCCUACGGUCUUGGACAGCCCCCGCAUGGCAGGGACCCCAAUAAGUGGCAUGCUCCAGAGAGCAC